CGAACACGGCGUAAAAGGACAUCCAAGCUAUCGCUGCAUCGGUGUAGUUCCUCACAAUGCACAAUAAAAUGUAUGUCAGAUUCACGAUGAUUUAUUUACAUUGUUUGGAUUGUAUUCCGCUCGCGCAGGAUCCUUUUGUUCUUCAUUCUUCUACUUCAGCGUAAAAGAGAGCAUCCAAGCAGUGGUGUCGGAGGAUUCAACGACGCUCCCCAGAUGUGAACAAAGCCAUGAAAUGUAACAAUUGAAUAUUCCUUCCCGCCAAGUAGAAUGAACUUAUAGUCCUCGCACCUUAAGCCAAGAUGAAGGUUGCAAUAUUCUGCCUUUCCUGGGCGGUGGAUUUCAUUAUUAUUGCCGAAAGCGGCGUUCCUAAAGAGGAUUCCACAUGGGAUACCGGAGCUUGCACCUACGACUGCUUCGGAAGACUUGAGGGACAAUCGUGCGGCACCAACUGUACGUGUCACCGGUACGCCGGGAACCGUACCGACAUGGUCUGUCUGGUAGACGGCUGCCAGAUACCAAGUGGAGUUGUACCGCUAGCGCGGGAUCCGCAGCCACUUCCACAGCCGCGACCGCGCCGUCAACGUCCGCAAGGUGGCGUUGGUGGCGGCGACGUCUUGCGGCGUCCGCAAGAUCCAUUAGAUGCGCGAAAUGUCCGAGAUCUGCGACACGUGCGACGUGACCAAGAUACGCGAAACGCGCGAUACGUGGACGUUUCGCGAAGUGCGCGAUAUGCCGAGCUUCUGAGAAAUGCGCGACGAGCUCGAGAUCGACGACGUGCUCGACAUGCGCACAAUCCACGAAGUGCGCGACCUGUCCAAUAAGAUCUGCGGCCAGCAUAACAGCCGCCUCAAAAGUAGCCCG
This 861-nucleotide long non-coding RNA is filed under the name Dermacentor andersoni. RNAcentral's name for it is "uncharacterized LOC126522193". The record is from RNAcentral. Lineage: Eukaryota; Metazoa; Arthropoda; Arachnida; Ixodida; Ixodidae.